This 99-nucleotide ribosomal RNA is filed under the name uncultured bacterium. Its description in RNAcentral is "partial 16S ribosomal RNA". It matches the Rfam family "Bacterial small subunit ribosomal RNA", at positions 1386 to 1482 of the family's 1533-position model. The record is from RNAcentral.
CACACCGCCCGUCACAUCAUGAAAGCCGUUUGUACCCGAAGUCGCCGUGUUAACCCGCAAGGGAGACAGGUGCCGAAGGUAUGAAUGGUGAUUGGGAUG